Molecule: ribosomal RNA, 454 nt
Filed under: uncultured bacterium
Lineage: Bacteria
Description: SSU rRNA
Rfam family: Bacterial small subunit ribosomal RNA
Source: RNAcentral
AGAACGAACGCUGGCGGCAUGCCUAACACAUGCAAGUCGAACGCUUUUGGGGCUUCGGUCCCAAAGGAGUGGCGCACGGGUGAGUAGCGCGUGGGAACCUGCCCUGUUGUGGGGGAUAACCGAGGGAAACUUCGGCUAAUACCGGAUACGCCCUUACGGGGAAAGAUUUAUUGCCGAAGGAACGGCCCGCGUCCGAUUAGCUUGUUGGUGAGGUAACGGCUCACCAAGGCGACGAUCGGUAGCUGGUCUGAGAGGAUGACCAGCCUCACUGGGACUGAGACACGGCCCAGACUCCUACGGGAGGCAGCAGUGGGGAAUAUUGGACAAUGGGCGCAAGCCUGAUCCAGCCAUGCCGCGUGGAUGAUGAAGGCCUAGGGUUGUAAAGUCCUUUUAACGGGAAGAUAAUGACGGUACCCGUAGAAUAACGCCCGGCUAACUUCGUGCCAGCAGCCGC